ACUGGGAAGAUAACGGGGAAGGUGAUGAAACCAGGACAUCUCCAGGAACCUCAGAGAUUCCAGAUGAAGAGUUAUCUUGAGGAUCAUCUUUCUCUAAGAUCAUCAUCCCUUCCUGGAGUUCCUAUCUUCCAAGAUGUGACUGUCUAGAGUUCCUUGACUAGGAAGAGGGAUGAAAAUGGCGAGCCUGUGGAUGGAGACUACAGGGGAUAUGGGAGGCAGGGAAGAGGGGUUGCUUCUUUUAAUAAAUCGUCAUUGUUAAAAGCA
This is a long non-coding RNA of Symphalangus syndactylus (siamang), 264 nucleotides long. RefSeq lists it as uncharacterized. Lineage: Eukaryota; Metazoa; Chordata; Mammalia; Primates; Hylobatidae. The record is from RefSeq and is a predicted model, not a curated record.